RNAcentral lists this ribosomal RNA (450 nucleotides) under uncultured bacterium. RNAcentral describes it as "partial 16S ribosomal RNA". It matches the Rfam family "Bacterial small subunit ribosomal RNA", at positions 338 to 795 of the family's 1533-position model. The record is from RNAcentral.
CCUACGGGUGGCAGCAGUGAGGAAUAUUGCGCAAUGGGGGCAACCCUGACGCAGCAACGCCGCGUGAGUGAGGAAGGUUUUCGGACCGUAAAGCUCUGUCGAGUGGGAAGAAAUGCAUAAUGGCUAAUAUCCAUUGUGCUUGACGGUACCGCUAAAGGAAGCACCGGCUAACUCCGUGCCAGCAGCCGCGGUAAUACGGGGGGUGCUAUCGUGCGUCGGAAUUAUUGGGGGGGCAGGGCGUGUCAGCGGUGAAAGCCCUGGGCUUAACCCAGGAAGUGCAUUUGAAACUGUUCAGCUGGAGUAAGGGAGAGGAAAGUGGAAUUCCUGGUGUAGAGGUGAAAUUCGUAGAUAUCAGGAGGAACACCGGUGGCGAAGGCGACUUUCUGGCCCUAUACUGACGCUGAGACGCGAGAGCGUGGGUAGCAAACAGGAUUAGAUACCCGAGUAGUC